Molecule: ribosomal RNA, 482 nt
Filed under: uncultured bacterium
Lineage: Bacteria
Description: bacterial SSU rRNA
Rfam family: Bacterial small subunit ribosomal RNA
Source: RNAcentral
AUUGAACGCUGGCGGCAGGCCUAACACAUGCAAGUCGAGCGGCAGCGACAACAUUGACCCUUCGGGCGAUUUGUUGGGCGGCGAGCGGCGGACGGGUGAGUAAUGCCUGGGAAUAUGCCCUGAUGUGGGGGAUAACCAUUGGAAACGAUGGCUAAUACCGCAUAAUCUCUUCGGAGCAAAGAGGGGGACCUUCGGGCCUCUCGCGUCAGGAUUAGCCCAGGUGAGAUUAGCUUGUUGGUGAGGUAAGAGCUCACCAAGGCAACGAUCUCUAGCUGGUCUGAGAGGAUGAUCAGCCACACUGGAACUGAGACACGGUCCAGACUCCUACGGGAGGCAGCAGUGGGGAAUAUUGCACAAUGGGGGAAACCCUGAUGCAGCCAUGCCGCGUGUAUGAAGAAGGCCUCGGUUGUAAGUACUUCUAGUUGUGAGGAAGGACGUUGUCGUUAAUUAGACGGCGAGUGUUUGUACGUUAGUCAACAGAA